Molecule: long non-coding RNA, 505 nt
Organism: Oncorhynchus kisutch (coho salmon)
Lineage: Eukaryota; Metazoa; Chordata; Actinopteri; Salmoniformes; Salmonidae
Exons: 3
Source: RefSeq, a predicted model, not a curated record
UGUGACUGUGGGAUCCUUUCAGAAGCUGCCCCGGCUGGCUACCAGAGCCUUCAGCACAACAAACAAACAGAUGAAGAACAAGGUGCCAGAUCGUCAGAACCUAUUCCAGGGGAGCAUGACAUCAUUAGGACACCUGGGUGAGAAACAAUCCCAAACAAGGAAAACAAGAGGCGGACAACGGCUUGCCAGUCCACAUCAAGGGAGGGGCCACUGAUGUCCUUCUCUACCGGCUAACAAUGACCAUCACCCUCCGCAGGCACUGGAUAUUCCUUAUUCUGGAUUCUACGUGCCUGUCAGCCCAAGGGCAAAUGAGGAAGCCCUGCGAAUGCAUGUGUUUGUUUAAAUCAAUUCCACUUUAUGACCUUCUUCUAAUGUCAUGGGACACUUUAUGUACAGAAUACAGAAAUCUCUCUAUUAUGCCUCUGUUUCAAGGCAAGCCCUAUUUUCCUCUAUCAACCCAUGUGUCAUUUCACUUCAACCUCAAUGAAAUGAUCUAUUCCUGCCA